Amborella trichopoda is the source of this 5006-nucleotide non-coding RNA. NCBI's taxonomy places the organism in Eukaryota, Viridiplantae, Streptophyta, Magnoliopsida, Amborellales, Amborellaceae. The record is from RefSeq and is a predicted model, not a curated record.
AUCACUGUUCAUUUUUUGCCUACAGGCGUUGGGAAGACUUUUCGAUAUAUAUAUAUAUAUAUAGCUUUACUCCAGCUUAGCUCAGUAACUGGAACAUCGUGCUGGUAGACUCAAUUUACUAAGUUAUUUGGUCCGACUUUGUUUCGAGGGCUAACAAAAGCAAUAAAAAAUACCUUGUAGAGGUGAUUGGAAUAUUGCCUUCUUGUGUUAACGAUCAAGCUAUAGCUUUCCACAGACAAACUAUGCCAUGCUCUCUUGAGCAACUGCUUUUAGCAAAGCUCUUGGAUUGGGUAGAGGGCCUUUUAUAGCUACGCCGUCUUCUUCAAUUAGCUACAGCUAAGCAAAGCUACGGAAGAGCACUCUGAAACAAGAGCUUAGCAGGUGAAGCAAGGCACUCUCAAACAAGAGCUUUGUUUGCGUAACAUAAAAGCACAAGUUGAAGAGUGCUUUUGCUACAGUGAACCCUGCUAAUAAUUUGACCUUGCGUAAAGAGGUCUCCUAAACAAAUGAAAGCCCCCACCUCAUCACUUCCUCUUUUAUGUACAAAGGUCAAGCUUUGAACUCUCUCCUUAGGGGGGCGGCAAAGCACUCUUUUUAUUUUGAGAGUGCUCUACAAGAGCAAAAAGCCUUAUAUGCAUGUGUGUGAUGUGAGUAAUGUAUGUAUGUAUGCAUGUAUCUGUCUUGUGGCAUGCUCAACUCAGUCUAUGCCCUCAUCAUGGAAGGGUUGAUAUUGUUGUGGUUAUUUUAAGUGCCAUUACUGGUGUACUUUGAACAUUUAAAGUUUCUUAUGUAUUAUAGACAUGCUGAAUUUGUAAUUAUCUUUUCUAUGUUAGGUCUGAGUUGAACAAUUUAAAUGAUUAUGUUCUGCUCGUGAUGUAGAACAUAGAAGAAUGGGAACCCCUCCUCUCCAUCUGGAUUUCAAGAAGCACUUCCCUAUUAAAACCCCCGCACCCAGUGCUUGAACUCCCCUUUCACACCUCAAAACAACCACUCCUACAAUCAUAUUCUGUUCUCCUUAUUUUUUUCUUCUAAAUUACAUUCUGAACUUUAUUCCACCUAAGUCCUAAAGGCCCCAUUGCUCUAAAACACACUCUUUCAGUCUCUAACGUACUGUGAGUGUAUGUAAGCCUCCUUGCCGUCUCAAUCUGUCUCAUUGUUUUUCUCUCUAAACAGUUGUUCUCAUUCUCUCAUAAGGACUUCCUCUUCAUCUGCCCUCUAUCUCCACCCCUUCUUCCUCUCCCUCACUGUCCAACACAUCUGCCUCUACCCUCACUCUAAAAAUUUGUGGUUUUUUGGGAGAUGGGUUCUGUUCUAAGAAAAAGAAGAAUUUGGGUUUUUUGGGAGAUGGCUGCUUCUAUUCUGAUAAGAAGAAGAAGAAACUGGGUUUUUCGGGAUGUGGGUUCUUUUGAUUUAAGAAGAUCAUAAUGAUCAUGAGCACAACAAUUGAAAGUGGAAAAAAUGCUUCUUUGAGGAGUUGGGCUAGUAGGUGAAUAGAACUUGGAUUGAGUUAAGAAGGUGGAUACUAGGAAGGGAUUUAACUGUGGAUUAGACUUGAAAAGAUGAUGGUAUAUUUUGAACUUGAAGAGGGGGAAAGUUGCAGGGAACUUUUGCAUAAAUGAUUCUUUUGCUGGGAAAGUUGCAGGGAGCUUUUGCACAAAUGCUCUUUUGCAAGCUUCCAUCCCAUGCUUGAACCCAACAUCUGUUUAUUGAAUAUAAUAACUGAAAGCCAAUCCAAUCCCAUUUAUCUACCCAUUUCUCUCUCUCUCAUUCAUUGAGUACAUGCAGUCUGGCACAUGAGAGAGAGAGACCCGAAUUAUAGAGAGUGAGUGGGAGAGAGACCCGAAUAUUAUAGGUGUUUUUUGGCACUAGAGUUUAUAGUGUAAAUUUCCCAAGGAGAAUGUAGUUUAACUUGUUACCAUCUUGCCGGUGUUAUUUGGCUUGAAUGUCUCCCAUUAUUUUGAAUAAGAAUGAAUAUUCACUUUUAGCUAGCUGACUAUAGAUUUCAAUAUUAUUUAUAAAAUUUUCUGAUAUGUUUUAUUGUUAUAUUAUUUUCUUUAAAUAUUUUCACUAGCCUGAACUUAUGUGAUUUCUCUACAUUUUUCGUAGUAUCUGUCAUCCGAAUAGACACAUGUUCUAUAAUUGUAACUUAUAAUUCGGCUGCAUCAUUGUUCACUCAUAAAGUUAACUCUAAACCGGAAGGGUGGUUUUGAGCCCAAGUCACAAGUUUUAGAUGUCUGCUUUCAAUAUGUUGACAUGUUUACUGAUCCACGUGGCUAUACUGCAGACUUCAUUGUAGGCUGAUGCCAAUGAGUAGAUCCUACAUAUGAAGUUCGUCAAUAGAAAAUAAUGAGAAUUUCUUAAAAUUAAUCUAUAUUAAAAAACAAAAAAAAAAUAGAAUUUGUAAAUUAAGAGGUAUUUAUGAGCCUAGUGUUAUGCAUUUUUUGUCUGAUAUUGUUCUCAUACAUUUAUUGGCAUCUUAGAUUGAUCAGUUUGGGAGACAAAACCUAGGGAUGCAAACUCUAUUUUGAUAUGGCCUGCUAGCAGAUUUAAUGCAUCAUAUCAUUGUGCAGGAAAGAUGGCAUUCAUGCAUAUUUAAGAAGAAGUAAUAUUUGUUGAUUACAGUAAAACAAAUACGUUGAGAUAUGAUGAAUUUUAAUAUCAUUACAUGGUCAACCGUCAUAGAUACUGCACAGAUCAACAAAUCUUGACUCUUGGACUCCAGAGUAGUUGAAAAUGAUGAGCUUUGGGGGAAAUAAUCGUGCUCAGGUUUUCUUUAAACAACAUGGAAGGAUCAACAAAGGUAGAAUCGAAUCAAAAUACACAUCAAGAGUAGCUAAAUUAUACCAUCAAUUACUUUCAAAGGAAGUUUCCAGAAGCUUGACAGAGGACCCAGAAUCUCCUAUAUCACCCCUUUCUUCUUUAGCAAAUCAGACAGUAAAUGGUAUAUCUCAUGUGAAGUUUACUGGUACAUCCAAAGAAAAUGAGGCUGAUGAUAAACAUGAUGUACUUGAAGUUCUUACCUCAACAAAAGCUCCUUCCCAUCCAGUUACCAGUACCAUAUAAAAGCCCAUUGGUGCAAGAAAGGGAAGUAAGACGGGAGGUCUUGAUGCCUAAAAGCUUACUACAAAGGUUGAGGAAACCAACGAAGCCCAACAAAAGUUUUCUAAUGCAAAAUCUAUUUCAUCAACUGAGUUCUUUGGGGAUCAAAAGUGAUGCUUCUUCCCAAAUCUGCUAGCAAAAGUUGUCAAUAUGCUUCCUCUCUCUUCCUCGUCCCCUAUUAUUUGUGUGUUUGUGCAUGUGCAGUACAUAUCACACACACACAUGCAUACACCCAUAUCUACACAUUCAUAUACACGUUUUUUACUACUCCCAUUUAGUGAAAACUUGCCCAGCAUGGUUUACUCCACUAUUUGAGUGUGACAGACGUUUGUAACUCCACUGAUCAACUAAGAGUUGUCCAUUACCCUUUAAAAAAAAAUGUUUUUUCCUUAUUCUAAGCAACUCUCCUUCUUGUUGGAAUUGGCCUUUGUGUUUUUGGCUAAAUGAUAUUCUAUUCCUAUGGGAGUAGAAUGUCUAUUAACUCCCUCGGGUACAACCCCACCUAGAAUUAGUUUUAGGACCCCAAAUUUGGGGAAUGUAACCCCUUCAAUCCAUAGACUAAAAAAGAUCCUUAUCAUACCCACUAUGCACUUGAAAAAACAAUGUCCUGAGAAUGAAUAGAGACUAUUAAUUUUUAGAUGGCAAGGUUUAAGUGUUAGAAAACUCAAAUUUCAAAUUUUUUUUCUGAGAGGAAUCAUCUAGUAAUUCUUAAGUCUUUCCCAAAAAUUCAGAUUUUGUUUGACAUUAUCUCAAUGGACACAAUGACCUAACAAAAUAUGUGCCCUUAUGAAUGCUUGGGCUAGUUUUUCUCCUUUUUAGGCAGCAUUCAAAUGUUGCAAGACAUCUUGCAGACAACAUCAGGUUAUAACUUUUUUCUCCACAUUCGAAUCACUAAGUUUCUCGAUAAUUUUAUUUUCUCUUUCAUCUUGUGUUUAGUAAUUGGUCGAUGCUUUGUGUAGAGCUUGACAUCCAUAUCCAGUGCUGAUCUUUUUGGACAUUACACAGAUGAUCCUAGCCGUGAUCUGUCCGCAAGUGAUCUCAUCAAUCGGAUUUCAUUCCAGGAACCACAAUUUGGAAUGUUGAGACUUCCCGAGGAGCUGCACUGCUACACCAACUUCACAUAUGGCUCUCUGAUGAUCCUCCUCCUGUAGAAAUACAAACAGAUAGUUCCAGUGAUGAUACAUACAUUGGACUCUCACACAACCCGUCCAAUCCAUCUUCACCAAGCUAUGAUUCAGACGAUUAUCCUCUCAAUUAUGACAUUGAUUGAAAAACAUUAUUCAACAUCACUGUGGAUAUCACUAUUAUAUCGGCAACACUGUUCAACAUCACUGUGGAUAUCACUAUUCUAUUGGCAACACUGUUCAACUUCACUGUAAAUAUCACUGUUCAAGACAAGCAAGAAUCUCCACUGUUCACUGUUCAGGUCGGCCACCUGUCCACUGUUCACUGUUCAUGUCGGCCACCUGUCCACUGUUCACUGUUCUUGUCGGCCACCUGUUCACUGCUCACAGUUCAUGUCGGCCACCUGUUCACUGUUCACUGUUCAUGUCGGGCACCUGUCCACUGUACAUCUAAUUUUACUGUUCAUAAUAGCCACCUGUCUUGGCCAGCUGACUUUUUUUAUUGUUGUUUUGAAUUUGGAUUUCAAGUCCGAUGCCUAUAUAAGGCCCUUUAAGUCAGUUGUAACGGCAGAGUGCUACUUAGAGCCUCUCAGCCUAGUUUCUUUCUUGGUGUGCUUCUUUCAUACUUCUGCUUUUGCUUGUAAGCUUGUUGCUUCUUUCAUUUUUUUGCUUUUUCUUGUAAGCUUCUUGCUUCUUUCACACUUCUGCUUUUGCUUGAUUGAACUUGUAAGUUUGAUCCUUAUAUUUUUUUUAUAAACUAUCGGUGUGCAUGGAUGUUCAUUA